Molecule: small nuclear RNA, 107 nt
Filed under: Pteropus vampyrus (large flying fox)
Lineage: Eukaryota; Metazoa; Chordata; Mammalia; Chiroptera; Pteropodidae
Source: RNAcentral
GUGCUCGCUUCAGCAGCACAUAUACUAAAACUAGAACUAUACAGAGAAGAUUAGCAUGGCCCCUUCACAAGGAUGACACGCAAAUUCAUGAAACCUUCCAUAUUUUU